UCAAAGAGGGUGACCUUGCUUUUUCUCAUCUCCUCAUCUUCUCAUCAAGCAAACUUGCAGAUCUGAGAGCUUCAACUUCAAUCCAAGAUAUUUGUAAGACUUUUAGGCUGAAGUGCACUAGAAGUCAAUCUAUCCUGAAGAAGAUCCACGCGCAAGAUGAGCCAUAUUUGAACAAGCCUAUCGAGGAUUACGACCUCAUUGAGAAGAUAUGUGGCAAUAAUCAAGCU
Molecule: long non-coding RNA, 227 nt
Organism: Dioscorea cayenensis subsp. rotundata (Guinea yam)
Lineage: Eukaryota; Viridiplantae; Streptophyta; Magnoliopsida; Dioscoreales; Dioscoreaceae
Exons: 3
Source: RefSeq, a predicted model, not a curated record